Molecule: ribosomal RNA, 253 nt
Filed under: uncultured bacterium
Lineage: Bacteria
Description: partial 16S ribosomal RNA
Rfam family: Bacterial small subunit ribosomal RNA
Source: RNAcentral
UACAGAGGGGGCAAGCGUUGUUCGGAAUUACUGGGCGUAAAGGGCGCGUAGGCGGCCUGUUAAGUCGAACGUGAAAUCCCUGGGCUCAACCCAGGAACUGCGUCCGAUACUGGCAGGCUUGAAUCCGGGAGAGGGAUGUGGAAUUCCAGGUGUAGCGGUGAAAUGCGUAGAUAUCUGGAGGAACACCGGUGGCGAAGGCGGCACCCUGGACCGGUAUUGACGCUGAGGCGCGAAAGCCAGGGGAGCAAACGGG